AACCCGGAGAUAGCUGGUUCUCCCCGAAAUAGCUUUAGGGCUAGCGUCGGAUAUGUGUAGUGGAGGUAGAGCACUGAAUGGGCUAGGGGGCAUAUCGCUUACCGAACCUUAUCAAACUCCGAAUGCCAUAUACAUUUAGUCCGGCAGUCAGACUACGAAUGAUAAGAUCCGUGGUCAAAAGGGAAACAGCCCAGAUCGUCAGCUAAGGUCCCAAAGUGUAAGUUAAGUGGAAAAGGAUGUGGGAUCUCCAAGACAACUAGGAUGUUGGCUCAG
Molecule: ribosomal RNA, 273 nt
Filed under: Bicosoecida sp. CB-2014
Lineage: Eukaryota; Bigyra; Bicosoecida
Description: partial Bacterial large subunit ribosomal RNA
Rfam family: Bacterial large subunit ribosomal RNA
Source: RNAcentral